GAUGAACGCUGGCGGCGUGCCUAAUACAUGCAAGUCGAGCGAACAGACGAGGAGCUUGCUCCUCUGACGUUAGCGGCGGACGGGUGAGUAACACGUGGAUAACCUACCUAUAAGACUGGGAUAACUUCGGGAAACCAGAGCUAAUACCGGAUAAUAUAUUGAACCGCAUGGUUCAAUAGUGAAAGACGGUUUUGCUGUCACUUAUAGAUGGAUCCGCGCCGCAUUAGCUAGUUGGUAAGGUAACGGCUUACCAAGGCAACGAUGCGUAGCCGACCUGAGAGGGUGAUCGGCCACACUGGAACUGAGACACGGUCCAGACUCCUACGGGAGGCAGCAGUAGGGAAUCUUCCGCAAUGGGCGAAAGCCUGACGGAGCAACGCCGCGUGAGUGAUGAAGGUCUUCGGAUCGUAAAACUCUGUUAUUAGGGAAGAACAAAUGUGUAAGUAACUAUGCACGUCUUGACGGUACCUAAUCAGAAAGCCACGGCUAACUACGU
Molecule: ribosomal RNA, 496 nt
Filed under: uncultured bacterium
Lineage: Bacteria
Description: partial 16S ribosomal RNA
Rfam family: Bacterial small subunit ribosomal RNA
Source: RNAcentral